This 352-nucleotide unclassified non-coding RNA is filed under the name Klebsiella oxytoca. RNAcentral's name for it is "partial 16S-23S ribosomal RNA intergenic spacer". The stretch from base 240 to 345 matches the Rfam family "Salmonella enterica Typhi npcRNA 44". Lineage: Bacteria; Pseudomonadati; Pseudomonadota; Gammaproteobacteria; Enterobacterales; Enterobacteriaceae. The record is from RNAcentral.
CCUGAAAGAACCUGCCUUUGUAGUGUCCACACAGAUUGUCUGAUAGAUGUAAAGAAGCAAGACGGCUGCGAAGUCGCGACACCUCGUGUCCCCUUCGUCUAGCGGUUAGGACUCCGCCCUUUCACGGCGGCAACAGGGGUUCGAAUCCCCUAGGGGACGCCACUUGCUGGCUGUGAGUGAAAGGCACAACCAACCGAUAUCUCAAAACUCAUCUUCGGGUGACGUUUGAGAUAUUUGCUCUUUAAAAAUCUGGAUCAAGCUGAAAAUUGAAACGACACACAGUGAAUGUGUGUUCGAGUCUCUCAAAUUUUCGCGACACGAUGAUGUUUCACGAAACAUCUUCGGGUUGUGA